GCUCAAUGAUUUUUUAAAUUGCUGUAGUAUUUUGACUAUACAAAGGUAUUGAAAUAAGGUUUUAAUUGAAUGCUAAAAGAAUGGAAUAUCAAAGAAUAACUUUCUUAAAAUUAAAAAUUGAAAUUUUUUUAAUUUGUGUAAAAACAAUUAUAUAAAUUAAAGACAAGAAGACCCUAAGAAUUUUUAAAAUUUAAAUUAACACAUUUUUGUUUUAAUUAAAUUUUAACUGGGGCGGUUAAAAAAUAUUAAAAACUUUUUAAUUUUGAAAAUGACCCAUUAUUAAUGAAAAUAUGAUAAAAUACUCUAGGGAUGACAGCGUUAUAUUUUUUGAUAGAUCAUAUUGACAAAAAAGUUUGCGACCUCGAUGUUGGAUUAGGAUACUUUUUUAAUGAAGAUAUUAAAAUAAGAAGUUUGUUCAACUUUUAAAUUCCUACUUGAUCUGAGUUCAGACCGG
RNAcentral lists this ribosomal RNA (454 nucleotides) under Rhipicephalus microplus (southern cattle tick). RNAcentral's name for it is "partial 16S ribosomal RNA". The stretch from base 309 to 454 matches the Rfam family "Bacterial large subunit ribosomal RNA", at positions 2473 to 2619 of the family's 2925-position model. The record is from RNAcentral. Lineage: Eukaryota; Metazoa; Arthropoda; Arachnida; Ixodida; Ixodidae.